This 1393-nucleotide ribosomal RNA is filed under the name metagenome. RNAcentral describes it as "bacterial LSU rRNA". It matches the Rfam family "Bacterial large subunit ribosomal RNA", at positions 1538 to 2925 of the family's 2925-position model. The record is from RNAcentral.
AAAUCCGGCGCACAUAUACCGAGGCCAAUGAUCGAGCCAGCUUGCUGGUGAAGUGACUGAACGAGGUUCCAGGAAAAGCCACUAAGCUUCAGCUACACACGACCGUACCGCAAACCGACACUGGUGCGCGAGAUGAGUAUUCUAAGGCGCUUGAGAGAACUCAGGAGAAGGAACUCGGCAAAUUGACACCGUAACUUCGGAAGAAGGUGUGCCCUAUUAGUGUGAAGUGAACAACGGAGCAUGAAUGGGUUGCAAAAAAUCGGUGGCUGCGACUGUUUAUUAAAAACACAGCACUCUGCAAACACGAAAGUGGACGUAUAGGGUGUGACGCCUGCCCGGUGCUGGAAGAUUAAAUGAUGGGGUGCAAGCUCUUGAUUGAAGUCCCAGUAAACGGCGGCCGUAACUAUAACGGUCCUAAGGUAGCGAAAUUCCUUGUCGGGUAAGUUCCGACCUGCACGAAUGGCGUAACGAUGGCCACACUGUCUCCUCCUGAGACUCAGCGAAGUUGAAAUGUUUGUGAUGAUGCAAUCUCCCCGCGGAAAGACGGAAAGACCCCAUGAACCUUUACUGUAGCUUUGUAUUGGACUUUGAACAGAUCUGUGUAGGAUAGGUGGGAGGCUUUGAAGCAGGGUCGCUAGAUCUUGUGGAGCCAACGUUGAAAUACCACCCUGGUGUGUUUGAGGUUCUAACCUAGGUCCAUUAUCUGGAUCGGGGACAGUGCAUGGUAGGCAGUUUGACUGGGGCGGUCUCCUCCCAAAGCGUAACGGAGGAGUUCGAAGGUACGCUAGUUACGGUCGGACAUCGUGACGAUAGUGCAAUGGCAUAAGCGUGCUUAACUGCGAGACUGACAAGUCGAGCAGAUGCGAAAGCAGGACAUAGUGAUCCGGUGGUUCUGUAUGGAAGGGCCAUCGCUCAACGGAUAAAAGGUACUCUGGGGAUAACAGGCUGAUACCGCCCAAGAGUUCAUAUCGACGGCGGUGUUUGGCACCUCGAUGUCGGCUCAUCUCAUCCUGGGGCUGUAGCCGGUCCCAAGGGUAUGGCUGUUCGCCAUUUAAAGAGGUACGUGAGCUGGGUUUAAAACGUCGUGAGACAGUUUGGUCCCUAUCUUCCGUGGGCGCUGCAGAUUUGAGGAAGCCUGCUCCUAGUACGAGAGGACCGGAGUGGACACACCUCUGGUGUAUCGGUUGUCACGCCAGUGGCAUUGCCGAGUAGCUAAGUGUGGAAGAGAUAACCGCUGAAAGCAUCUAAGCGGGAAACUCGUUUCAAGAUGAGAUCUGCCGGGGCCUUGAGCCCCCUAAAGAGUCGUUCAAGACCAGGACGUUGAUAGGUCAGGUGUGGAAGCGCAGUAAUGCGUUAAGCUAACUGAUACUAAUUGCUCGUGCGGCUUGACCCC